This 159-nucleotide ribosomal RNA is filed under the name Bacillus altitudinis. RNAcentral describes it as "16S rRNA. Bacterial SSU". It matches the Rfam family "Bacterial small subunit ribosomal RNA", at positions 1 to 154 of the family's 1533-position model. Lineage: Bacteria; Bacillati; Bacillota; Bacilli; Caryophanales; Bacillaceae. The record is from RNAcentral.
AUACCUCGGAGAGUUUGAUCCUGGCUCAGGACGAACGCUGGCGGCGUGCCUAAUACAUGCAAGUCGAGCGGACAGAAGGGAGCUUGCUCCCGGAUGUUAGCGGCGGACGGGUGAGUAACACGUGGGUAACCUGCCUGUAAGACUGGGAUAACUCCGGGA